CUGACUUUAUUAGGUGAGACCUUAACGGGAACACCUCCAAAGCUUUCCUGUUGGUCUGGGAGAAAGCAAGCAGCCACACCCCUGGAGGGCACCACAGGGCCAGGGACUGCCUUCCGGGUCUCUAGCAGCUGAGUGUGGCCUCUGGUUGACAGUCCUCAAGGAAGCAGGUACCUCAGUGCUACUACCACAAGGUGCUGGAUUCUGCCAACCAUUCAAAUGAGCCAGCCAGCUCCCACCAUGAUUUCAGUCCAGGGUAACCCUGGCCAGAGGACCUCACCCCACUGCACCUGGAAUCUUGGACCCUGGAAACUGAGAUGACAGGACUUCAGGGAUGCAGGCCAAGCUCCAGAAGUCCAAGCCCACCUGGGGGCUGUGACCCAAGAAUGGGACCCAACAGCUUUAGCUCCGUACUCUCUGGCUCUAGCCCAGCUCACAGAACUCCCGAGGGGCCACCACUGUCCCCCCAGAUACCUCCACUGACUCAUCGGCCCCCCAGGGUGUCUGCUGGUGGUCGGUGGCAGCCCUCCUUCUCCACCUUGAGGUUCCCAAGCACAUCUGCCUCUGGCUGCUGAUGCCACCUCUGCAGGCUCAGAGCUGCUGCCCUGCCCCAGGCUACGGCCCCUGCCUGUUGUUGCUCCUCCCUCUGAGUGGCAGUGCCUGCAGCUCACUGGGGUCUCACAGCUGGAGUGCUGUAGGUAUAUCCUCUAUUCACCGGGAAAAUGUCUGUGUUGGGCUACACACCAGGAUCCCUGGGGCCCAGCUUUUUCCUGCCACCUCUUCUAGAUCUUUCCCCUAACCCACAGUCCUGGCUUAUCUCCCUGGGAGCCUGAGAACCCUCUGAGGCACUCCACAGUGCUUCACUCAAAUCAUUCUUUCCCUUCCGUGCCCACGCAAACCUGUGCCUCAGGCAAGCCUUUCUCUCGUCAAGGGUGGCAAAGACUGUCUCCUUGAUAAAAUUUUAACCAGGCUCCUCUGAACCCUCUUUCCACCUAGAUCUUGGCCUUGGUCUGUCCUUAGCAGGCUAAGCCCAGUUUUAGCAAAGAAUCCUACUAACUCAGUUGAUGAAAAUCUUCCUAUCCUUGAUAGCUGAUCAAACUCCUCUUCCUCCACCCCUGAUUCCUACCCAAACUCCUCCCAGUAAUUUUCCCUCCACCCCUUCUCCCUGCUUUCUGUAAAUUCCUGCUUGCCCCUGGUAUAUUCCAAGUUGAGUUCAAUCUCUCUCCCCUGCUGCAAUAAUCCCAAAUAAAGUCUUGCAA
This 1256-nucleotide long non-coding RNA is filed under the name Homo sapiens (human). RNAcentral's name for it is "HSALNT0162354". The record is from RNAcentral. Lineage: Eukaryota; Metazoa; Chordata; Mammalia; Primates; Hominidae.